GAUGAAGAACGCAGCGAAAUGCGAUAAGUAAUGCGAAUUGCAGAUUUCAGUGAGUCAUCGAAUCUUUGAACGCACAUUGCGCCCGCCAGUAUUCUGGCGGGCAUGCCUGUUCGAGCGUCAUUUCAACCCUCAAGCCCCCGGGCUUGGUGUUGGGGAUCGGCGUGCCCUCGCGGCGCGCCGUCCCCUAAAUCUAGUGGCGGUCUCGCUGUAGCUUCCUCUGCGUAGUAGCAACACUCGCACUGGAUCGCAGCGCGGCCACGCCGUUAAACCCCCCACUUCUGAAAGUUUGACCUCGGAUCAGGUAGGAAUACCCGCUGAACUUAAGCAUAUCAAUAAGCGGAGGA
This 344-nucleotide unclassified non-coding RNA is filed under the name soil metagenome. RNAcentral describes it as "partial contains 5.8S ribosomal RNA, internal transcribed spacer 2, and large subunit ribosomal RNA". The stretch from base 1 to 120 matches the Rfam family "5.8S ribosomal RNA", at positions 35 to 154 of the family's 154-position model. The record is from RNAcentral.